Molecule: unclassified non-coding RNA, 2187 nt
Filed under: Amphibalanus amphitrite
Lineage: Eukaryota; Metazoa; Arthropoda; Thecostraca; Balanomorpha; Balanidae
Description: kelch domain-containing protein 2-like, transcript variant X8
Source: RNAcentral
AUUUUAUCCUUGAGCUAAGACCGCCAAAUUAGCAGAGAGGUGUUCCACUAUGGAGCAUGAUGAAGAGCGUCAAAGGUGGAUGUUUGCUGAACAUGAUGAACGCUGUGAAAAUGGCGAGAAUUGUGUUGAGCCAAUGAAUGCAAAAAGUCCCAAGCUACAUAGAAGAGUUGGCCAUGUUGCUGUGAAGUACAAAAACUUUGUAGUUGUUUGGGGUGGAUAUGAGGAUGAUGAACAGUAUGACAACAAUGCAUACACAAGGGAGCCCUAUUAUCACCCUGCAGAUGAAGUGAUGCUCUAUGACUGUGAAUAUGAAGUUUGGCACGGCGUGCGGAUCCACGGCGACCCUCCCCCUCGGCUGUGUGGGGCCACUGCCGGAGUCAUCGGCGACAGAAUGCUGCUCUUUGGCGGGUUCAUGGAAGACCGUCAGCUGGGCACCUCUAACGUGCGUACCGUCUACGAGCUGGACCUGAACAAGAUGGCGUGGAAGCAGAUCUGGGCCGACGGCGUGCCGCCCCUGGCCUGCGACAAACUCGUCAGCUGGUGCUACGAAGGGAAGUUCUACUUGUUCGGGGGGUUCGGCCCCUGGCCGGACGACCCGGGCUACUACCGGGACGUCCGGCUGGCCGCGCACCCGGGAGCCAUGCGCGAGGAUCGCUGCUGGAACGACCAGCUGGUGCGACUCGCGGACGGUCGGUGGGAGUGGCCCGAGACCAGAGGCGACCGACCCACCCCGCGAGCCGCACACGCCGCCGCCCUGGUCGGCAGUAGGGCGUACAUCUUCGGUGGCCGACUGGGCAACCGGCUCAACGACUUCUACUGCCUCGACCUGGAGACCAUGGUCUGGACUAAACUGGAGCCGUCCGAUCCGGCCGCGCCGGUGCCGGCCGCCCGCUCGUGGCACUCGCUCACCGCCCUGGACGAUCACGGCCGUCUCCUCCUCUACGGCGGGUUUGACGCACUGAGCCAGCCGCUGGCCGACCCGUGGAUCUGGAGUCCGAGCGGUCAGCGGUGGUCGCCGUGCACGUGGCUGAGCGAGCCGCCCAUCCGCAUGUGGCACGCCGCCACCCCCGGAGAGGCCGGCGAGGUAGUGCUGUUUGGCGGACUGGCCAGCAGUGUGCUACUCGAUCAGCCCACCUACGCGUCGGGAUCGGUGUUCCUACGAGAAACGCCCAAGUCGCUCAUCAGGCUGUGUCUGGACGUGCUGGAUGCGAACCGGGAGACGUCGGUGCCGCUCGUAUGGUUCACGCCGUCGCCGCUGGCCGAUGGCAUCAUCGCCCGGCUGACGGCGUGCGGCAGCAAGCCGGUGGUGUGAUCCGAGUCAUCCGCGGCUGCCCGGCGGCCGGCAUUUGUAACUGGCUGUGGUCGUGCGACGCCAACGCCAACUCAACGCGUGGUGGCGAUACAGUUCCGUGCGAGUGGGAAAAUCGUGGCAUUUCAGCGGGAGUAUUUGUACCGUCUGCCAAAUACGGGGUGCGCUUUCUGAGUAUGAAGGUGCGCGGAUGGGAACUGAGGGUGCUGUUCAAAUAUCAGGUACGAUACGAUUUGUGCGCGAGAGCGUCCGCGUUGGUGUGUAAAGCCGGCGUCUUACUGGUAUCUGUGCGACUGUCUGUGCGAAGUUUCUGAGAUCUCCAAACAGGUCCUAGUCUCUGAGGAGCCGUUUAUCCUCCUGGCCUCCGAUAUUUCAACAAAGACGCUCACCAUGCAAGCUUAUGAUGUGUCCAGCCAGAUACUUCUCUGAAUGAGUCAGUAAUUGGUCAUAGGGCGGUGGCCACUCCCGCCCGUGCCGUCCUCCGCUGUGCGUCCUCUAGUCCUGGCCCGUGAGCCUCCUGCCUGCCUCCUGAGUGGGCGAUUUCGCCGCCUGCCGCCUCCGGUCGUACAAACUCUGGUGAGUUGAGAGCUAACACUCUGUCACAUGUCCCGAGUUAUGUGCCCGUGAUAUGCAUUGGCGGGUAACACUGGUGUGAGUUAGCUGGAGCCGAGCUGUGCGAUGACCCGUGAUAUAAGCGUGACAAUAAUAGUGACGGUACAGGCCAGAAGUGAGUGAGGCUGAUGUUUAGUCGUAUUCAUGAGAAGUGCUUUCAACUGAUACAUCUCUGGUGACCCCCAUGAAGUUGUGUUUUAGCGUGUUGUGUAUGAUGCAAGUGUGCAAUAUCGGCUCAACGAAUAAACUCAAUGCCUUUGAACGCA